This 1259-nucleotide long non-coding RNA is filed under the name Oncorhynchus mykiss (rainbow trout). RNAcentral's name for it is "lncRNA (ENSOMYG00000070140.1)". Lineage: Eukaryota; Metazoa; Chordata; Actinopteri; Salmoniformes; Salmonidae. The record is from RNAcentral.
CACGAGAAUAGCAUGCCAUUCGCCCGCUAUUCGUUUGGGGUGGAGAUGAAAUAAAUGAAUGUGUGGCAGAGGUGUGUCUACAGAUACACUGUAUUCUGAUAUUGAUUAAUAAUUACACCACCUUUAUGCACGAGAACCAUAAAUAAGGUUUAGUCCAAGUGGAAAAAGCAUUUACUUGUUUUUGUCCUACAGUGGGGCAAAAAAGUAUUUAGUCAGCCACCAAUUGUGCAAGUUCUCCCACUUAAAAAGAUGAGAGAGGCCUGUAAUUGUCAUCAUAGGUACAACUUCAGCUAUGACAGACAAAAUGGGAAAAAAAAUCCAGAAAAUCACAUUGUAGGAUUUUUAAUGAAUUUACAGUGCCUUGCGAAAGUAUUCGGCCCCCUUGAACUUUGCGACCUAUUGCCACAUUUCAGGCUUCAAACAUAAAGAUAUAAAACUGUAUUUUUUUGUGAAGAAUCAACAACAAGUGGGACACAAUCAUGAAGUGGAACGACAUUUAUUGGAUAUUUCAAACUUUUUUAACAAAUCAAAAACUGAAAAAUUGGGCGUGCAAAAUUAUUCAGCCCCUUUACUUUCAGUGCAGCAAACUCUCUCCAGAAGUUCAGUGAGGAUCUCUGAAUGAUCCAAUGUUGACCUAAAUGACUAAUGAUGAUAAAUACAAUCCACCUGUGUGUAAUCAAGUCUCCGUAUAAAUGCACCUGCACUGUGAUAGUCUCAGAGGUCCGUUAAAAGCGCAGAGAGCAUCAUGAAGAACAAGGAACACACCAGGCAGGUCUGAGAUACUGUGGUGAAGAAGUUUAAAGCCGGAUUUGGAUACAAAAAUAUUUCCCAAGCUUUAAACAUCCCAAGGAGCACUGUGCAAGCGAUAAUAUUGAAAUGGAAGGAGUAUCAGACCACUGCAAAUCUACCAAGACCUGGCCGUCCCUCUAAACUUUCAGCUCAUACAAGGAGAAGACUGAUCAGAGAUGCAGCCAAGAGGCCCAUGAUCACUCUGGAUGAACUGCAGAGAUCUACAGCUGAGGUGGGAGACUCUGGCCAUAGGACAACAAUCAUUAUUAACAAGAGUGGCAAGAAGAAAGCCAUUUCUUAAAGAUAUCCAUAAAAAGUGUCGUUUAAAGUUUGCCACAAGCCACCUGGGAGACACACCAAACAUGUGGAAGAAGGUGCUCUGGUCAGAUGAAACCAAAAUUGAACUUUUUGGCAACAAUGCAAAACGUUAUGUUUGGCGUAAAAGCAACACAGCUGAGCCAAAUACAGGA